Molecule: ribosomal RNA, 509 nt
Filed under: uncultured bacterium
Lineage: Bacteria
Description: partial 16S ribosomal RNA
Rfam family: Bacterial small subunit ribosomal RNA
Source: RNAcentral
GACGAACGCUGGCGGCGUGCUUAACACAUGCAAGUCGAACGAAGAGCGAUGGACGCUUGCUUCUCUCAAUCUUAGUGGCGAACGGGUGAGUAUCGCGUAAUCAACCUGCCCUUCAGAGGGGGACAACAGUUGGAAACGACUGCUAAUACCGCAUACGAUCUAAUCUCGGCAUCGAGGAUAGAUGAAAGGUGGCCUCUACAUGUAAGCUAUCACUGAAGGAGGGGAUUGCGUCUGAUUAGCUAGUUGGAGGGGUAACGGCCCACCAAGGCGAUGAUCAGUAGCCGGUCUGAGAGGAUGAACGGCCACAUUGGGACUGAGACACGGCCCAGACUCCUACGGGAGGCAGCAGUGGGGAAUCUUCCGCAAAGGACGAAAGUCUGACGGAGCAACGCCGCGUGAGUGAUGACGGCCUUCGGGUUGUAAAGCUCUGUUAAUCGGGACGAAAGGCCUUCUUGCGAAUAGUGAGAAGGAUUGACGGUACCGGAAUAGAAAGCCACGGCUAACUACGU